GGCUGCGCAUACCGCGAAGCAAGCGAGAGAGAGAGAGAAACGAAGAGAAGCGCGUGCGUAAGCGAAAUGAGUUUACGUUUUCACGUGCAUGCGUGCAUGCGAUUACGGACGAGUACGAGCGAAUGACGUCACAAAUUUGCGUAUUACUACGCGGAAUGGUCGGAGAGAACGCCGAGGCGCGGUAAUUUUGAAUCGGCGGAAAUUCGUGAGAUUUAACGUCAAAUUUCGGGUUACGGAAGGAUUUGCUCGUUUGGCACGCAUUUUCGAUGAGAAAAUGAUUUUCUCGCCAGCUCGUAGGAGCCGUGUCGUUCGAACGGCCCUACGAGCUCGAUUGCGUCGGCUACGUAGGCGGAAAAUAAGUUUUUAUCGAUCACUAACCUACGACAACCAUCUGGCCCGGCCUGGCCCUCGACUAACCGUGGCACGCGUAACAGGGGUGGAGCUCGAUUCCAAAGUCUCCCGAGAACGCUAGCCAACGACGAUGACGAGGAAGACGAACGGGGAGAAUAGAAUCGUCGCUUCACGGCUGGUCAUCUCCCUGGAGAUUCGUCGGAAUGAUUUAACGGCAAGACGUUAAUUAACGGCAAGUCCCUCGUCACUGACCUUGCUACUCUUUGUGGAAGGAGCCAUAUUAUAGCGUCGACUAUACGUCUGGGACCUACCCCAAUCAAAUCGAGACUAAACUUCUUCCCUCUCCCAUGGCAGAGCUCGCUCUAAUCGCCCUUAGUCACGCUAGGAGGAAUUGUAGGAAGAGAGCGAAUGGAAAGCGGAAAGGACGGAUAGAGUCGCGCGAUAUCAACGAUUAAAACUCCUCGGAGUGAAUUCAACCGAUUUGCCGGUGGCGUCAACUCGAUCGUCGAUUCGAAGCAUCGCGAGAACGCCACUCGAGUCUCCGGAAGCGCGAAGCGUCGGCUGCCUGGCGAACGAACGAACGGAUGGUUGGACGGAUGGAUAGGAUACGCAGGGACAGGUGGCUCUUCGACGAUCCUAAGUGGGCAGGAAGGACACCCGGGCUCUGACGAGGGGCGAGAGACAGACGGAUGGACUAGCUUGUUCGCUUACAAGUCAGAGAGAGGGAGAGGGAGAGAGAGAGAGAGAGAGAGAGGGUACAGUUUCGUGUUCGCCCGAUGCGUGCAAUGCAAUUUCCCGCAGGGCCGUCUGUCCGCUUGUGCGGUCGUGCAUGCCACUUACGCCAUUGUUCCUCCCCCUUUUCGCAUACGAAAGUGAACAUUCCCGAGAUCCGGGAGGAAUAUAACGCGAGCGAGCUGCUGACCCCUUGUCUCAAGGCGUAACACCUCGUCUACGAGAUGUAACCGAAUAAUGCUUUCUCUCUUUCUCUCUCCCUCUCUCGCGCGAUGAAUAGUAUUGAACAUCAGCAUUAACAUAUAAUUACUCGAAUCUUCGCUAUUUUUCAUUUCAUCUAGUUGAUCAGUUGGCGCUCCGAGAAGAUCAUUUAACGCACGGUUUAUCCUACAGCAGGAUGUACAUCUAGAAGAUGAAUAUCUUUUGGUCGAGCAAGCUCUCGGAAUGCGAGAGAAGAAAGGAAGGAAGACGUCUAGGGAUCGAUUCGAGCAAGCGGAAAACUAUGCGACUGGAGAAUAAUUUAUGCGAUAUUUUCCCGCAAAGCGGUAUUGUUACCGUGCGAGGGCACGAAUUGGAAACGUUCCACUUGGAUUGGUUCCAUCGGUUCGAGAUAGGACGGAUCAUCCAAGAGUUUUCGCGCGUUUUCGUUAUCUUGUAGCCGAAUCCAGGACUCGCUUUUUUUUUUUUUUUUUUUAAUUAUUUCUUUCGUCAAACCCGAAGAGUGAUUUCGAAAAAUUGAAAAAAGAGUAGCUCCGUUGUUGUACGCUUUCGACGCCUCGAGGGGCAACGUUAACACUUGGAAUUCGUUCAUUGUUCGAUUCUCGAUACGGUGAAUAAAGUUGCAUUCUGAAGGGCCAUCGUCGUGCCUCAAAAACGAAGGGGUCCGCGAGUCGUAGAGCUCUGUCGUCGAGAGUAAAGCUGCCGAGGGGCAGAAGGGAGUGAACCUCGCCGAGCGUAGGAAGGGGAAGCAGCGAAGAGUCGUGACGUCAGCCCUCUUGUCUAAUCGUUCAGCCGUCUGUCCGACGACGGCGGCGACGCCGACGACGACGGUGACGAUCGACGGUGACGGUCGACGGUGACGGUCGACGGCCGUCAGACGUUGUAUCAAAGAGAGUGCACGCAGACUUCGACGUUACGUUUCAAUGUCAUGGUUGCGUCGACUCGAAUCGACCCACCAUCCAUCCCACUGCGUAAACUUUCAUCUCUAUUCAUUCGUGUCAGGAAUGAAAAUUGAAAGGUUAAAAGGUGAGUAGAGAAAGGGAUCGAAAGGUCGGACUCUCGUCCAGCGGUCGGCGACGAGUAUAUAGCUUAAUGCGAUCGUCUAGGAGAAAACGGGCGUAACGCGCUCGUUCGGCGUUUCAAGGGGUCUCCGUUACCGGAGCCGCCGUCGUCUGGAGUGCCGACGAGUUUCAGGAGACGCAAUUGGGGGUGUGCGAGGGAAGCAGGGAAGGAGAGAAGGGCGGAUAGGCGAAUGCUGGCUUCGUAGGGCUGGAGACGAGGAAGAGAGGGAGGAGGAGUAGGAGACGAGACGAGACGGGAGGAAAAGGAAGAGUAGUAGGAGGAAGGGUGAAAGGAGAGAUGAAAACGGUAGCUGGGCUGGGAGAGGGGUGGAAGGGGUGUCGUUUCGGUCCUGCACUGGUAGAGGGUGCGGUGCCGAAGGGAGCAGACGCGAUACUACGCUGCUGGAGAUUCCUAGAGGUUUGAGGUUUCGCGGCCUUUAUCCCGACGUCUCCUUUUCUCGUCUUCUUCUCGUCUUCCUGCUCUUACCCAGGCAAUCCAAAUAUCGAUGCAGGAAGGGAAAGUAAUUUUGAAGGAUAACGAAAUACGAUCUAAAGACAAUGCUCAGCUUUCUACUUGCGCCUCGAUACCGAGACAUAUUCAUAGAUCACUCGUUGCCAAUUAAGAUUUCAAAGCCCUCUCCCAUCGUUUUUAUCGGCAACUCGUAAAUUCAUCGAGGAAUAUCAGCGGUCUCGUAAAUCUCCGAGGAAAGAGAAAUGGCGGCGGAAAUCCAUGAGAAUUUUCUCCUCUUUACGAAUGCAGAAAAGUUCCGUCCUUGGAAAAGUCCCCGACGUAAUCGGCCAUGGAAUAGGUCGGAGGCGAGAGGGAGACGAGGGAUGUUACGCUCGCGAACCAAAAAGCGUUUUAAUUCCCUGGACGCUUAAUUCCGUGCGUACGAAUGGCACGCGUGAAUAUGCAUGACCCGACCGGCUUGGCCAGCCGAGCUAGCCAGACGAGCUAGCCAGCCAGCCAGCCAGCCAACGUCGUAACUCCGUACGAACGAAGAACGAAGUCAGGCCAGGAGGUACCGUCGCUUUCGCCGAUUUUAUUUUGUUUCCCAACUUUUUCGUCGAAACCACGGGAACCUAUUAAAAUGCCGUUCGCCAUGACCGCGCCCGUCUGCCGCCUGCGUUAUCCGUUCCUUCCUCUUCCUUCUCCCUUCUAGCCCUCACCUAUCUUCCCCCCUUUUUUUAUCUUUCCUCCCACGUAUUCUACCAGUUUCUCUCAUUGCGUUACCGUGGAAAACUUUUCCACCCCCGAGCCACCCCUUUAUCGCGCUCGACUCGCUUCGAAAAUGAAAUCACGCCCAGGUCGCGUCUACGAUUCUCCCGUCAUUUUCAACAUUUUUCAUUUUUUCACCUCGUUCUUAUAACGUUCCUUAUCAUUUCCAUUUUACUCCGUUGCAAAAACAAGGGUCGUUCACGCGGAUAACGACGAUGACAAUGGCGCGGAGCUUCGCGUGCCUACGUUGGAUUGAAGAAUUCAAAUGCGAAUGUGGAAAGAGAAACGAGCUACAAAUUACGAUCUCGUCCGUACCUACCAAGAAGCUUUUAUCGUAGCACGAACGAACGAAAGAACAAGCGAGAGACUGUCUCUUUCUCUUUCUUUGGUACGUUUUACGAGACAAAGCACCCGCGUUUCUAUCGUGUUUCUUACGAUUCCGUUAUUCCUUCCCGUACGAAUUCUCGUUAAAAUCCGUCCAGAAGGUAAAAACUUGCCUCGUAAAAACGUUAAGUGUCUUACAGUGUCUCGCAGUUAGCAACGAUGGAAAGUAUAUACGAAGUGAGGAAUCUAAACUCGUUCGGGGACUCGUGGAAAAACGGAAACUGUCAAUCAAAAGACACAGGUGGAGAAUCGUGUAACGAAAUAGAAAGGAUUGGUCUCGUAUCGAAUCAGUACGUAGGUGAAUCACGUCUUUGCAUAACGCCGAAGUAAAACUCUCGAGAUAUAGGUGUUUGAGUUUGCGAGAGGAGAAACGCUUCGGCGUUUCUCACGUCGGCUCGGCGUGUCUCGACGGUGCGAACAACGCGUACACUUUACACCAUCUUCAGAGGGGGUGAAAGGAGGUGAGAGAAAGAGAGAGAAGAGAAGGAGAAGGAAGAGAUGCAAAGCGGUUGGUCGGAGUCGAAGGAAAGCGUAGAAAGACGUUGUUGACGAGACGAUAUAUCCAAAGGUAGCAGCAGCCGGUGUUGACAAAACACCGAGACGUCGAUAUGUGUACCCGCGGAAGACGCUUCGUAGCAGUCGAUGACACAGCCAGCGAGCAGACGGUCUGACCUGGAUGCCUUGUUUGCUUCGCUACCAUCGGCUCGACCCGUCUGCACGCUCUUCUCUCUCUCUCUCUCUCUCUCUCUUAAACGUGUACACACGUACAGGUCCCUACAUGCAUUCGCACACAGUCGCGCCUACACUCCAUAUAUCCAGACUCGAUACUGCAACGUGCGUGCCAUGAGGUUUUGUCGCAACCUCGAGCACGUGUAUACUCGCACUUUGUGUAAGUGUGUUUGCUCGUGUUUCGUGUGUACCACAAAGCUUGCAGAAAGAGAUAGAGGUAUUCGUAGUGUAAAGUCUAGGCUUUUCCUUCGCGCUGCUUGGUAAAUAAAAGACACAGGGUCGGUAGCUUCUUUGAAAUUCCUUCGCUUUUUUUUGUUUUUUUUUUUUGCAAAACUUUACGUUUUAUGUGAUUUUUUCAAAGAUCAAUCUUAAUCGUUCCUUGGUCAAGUUGGAUUAAGUAUACCGAUCUGUUAUACUUUUUCUAACGCAUCUCUAAAUAAGAGUAAUGGACCACGAGCAGUUACGUCUCACAGUAGGAGCUCGAAGGAAAUGGUGAUUCAUUUCGUGAUACCCCACGACGAGAGAAAUGUCCCUGGAAGGGAGCUGCCGUUUCUACGUAAUUUGCAGUGAAAGAGACACUCGCCGUCUCCGCGUUUCUCUCCUCGUAAAAAGUUUCUUCUUCGAGAUUGGGUCGUGAGAUGAGUACUCGCGACGAUAUACCGCUGCGUCUACUCGGCUUUUCGCUCGUUAAAAGGAGAAGAGGUAUUCGAAUGUAGGUAGAAAUGUUGAAUACCUAAAUAGAAAUUGACUAAUUAGACGUGUUAAUAAAACGUCUUGCAGUCUUGCUUUUGAAAAUUGUGGCAACGUUUUAAUCGAGUAUUUCGAUGCUUGAACGCUUUAUGACGAUCAUAAAUUCGACUAUCGAAAAAAAUAAAUAAAAAUUCCAAUUUUUUUCAGCGACAAAAACAAGUCAUAAUCCGUUACAUUUUUAUAAACGUAUUAAUAACUCGUCGACUCGACGACGACCCAUAUCCGUGUCGAUCAAGAGACUAAAUGAACGAGUCAUUUCGUUCAUUGUCACGAAGCAGAUGUUCGAAAGGAUCUCUCUUUUUGUACCCAAUUAUUUACGAUUGCGAUUUGGUAAUUUUUUUGUUCGUCGGAGAAGAAAAGAAAAGAGAAAGCAACGAGAGACGUCGAGGUAACGCGUGGGCGAUAGAUAACCGUUAGAAGCAUCGUAAUAGGCGGAUGAGUUAAUUAGAGGGAUUUAAGAGCCGAGAAGCACACCGGUAUUACGUGCCGAUCAAAAUGAAUCGCUGUCUCAAAAUGUCGCCGAUAAUCUCCGAUGCAUCAACGACAAUAGCAACAAAGUGCUUUUGUCUUAAAUCGAGGAAUUCCAAGUGCAGCAGUUGAUGAUUAAAUCAAAGUAUCAUCGCGGCGCCAGUUAAUUAAUUAGAAAUUUGCUUAAUUAAGUGAUUUAGUAGGCCGAAUACCGUAGCAAUUAGCACGUGUACCCGCCGGCGUCUGAGAGGAGCGCCGAGUAAACAGAGGCAAGACUAGAGAAGGAGCCUUGGGAAGAGGCAAAGAAAACACAGACUGGUGUUAUUUCUUACCUAAUCAAAACGAACUUGAAGAUUGGAAAUAUAUUUCCCUCUCUCUCCUUCGAGUCCUCUUAUUUGUAUCCCGUCUGAAGCCUUAAGAGAUUUCUCUGAAAUAUUCCAAAGCCCUGGUUACGCGUAUCAAAGGAAUCCUCGCGCUCAUUACACAUACUUUCCCCUUUCCGCUUUGAAACAUAUAAAGCGAGCUUGCGGAGUUGUAAAAGAGGUGCUUAAAUCCGGUGACUUUCUUCGUUGAAGGAAGAGAAAGAAAAAAAAAAAGAAGGAGAGAACGUCUACAGCGUACGCCAGGUCUUCUUAGAGCGUACACAAACACAUACAUGGAAUAUAUCGAAGAUGGCGUCUAGCUAGACUAGACGAAAGAAAAAUACGAAAAAGAACGGACUAGACGAAGGCUAGACUUAUCUCCUAUAGACAAACGCGCGUGUACACACGGGAUCGAAUUUUUGCGUUCUCUUUAAACCCAAUCGCGGAGAACGAAUCGAGUACCAUAGAAAACGAACGUGGAAAACGAACGGCGAACAAUAUUUCCUAGCACCGUCGCGCCGGUCGCCGAUAAAUACAGACUUCGCGCAUAGCGGCGCCCUACCGGUUUUGCGGUAUCUCGAACGGCUUAAUGGCACUGUUAACUGCCGUAUUAUUUAACGGGGAUUUAUGCAUUGCAGUCUGCCGAUUAAAACACUACGGUGGUUAGGGGGAGGGGUAGGGGGAGCGUGGUAGAGGACCGAGCGAAAGGGUGGCGAUGAGGUUUGGGUGCUGUGAGUGGAAGUGAGAUAGAGAUAUAGAGGAAAGCAGAGAGAGAGAGGGAGAGAGAGAAGUGGUGGCGACUAGAGCCGACAAGGACGAGAGGGUUGGCGGAGUGCACGAUACCCUUAAUCCUUCAUAAUAGCUUGCUCUGAUAAACAGUCCACCCUUUCACCCUUCUCGUCUUUCUCACCACUACUGGAAACUCGGGACUCGUAAAAAUCCUCAAACCGAUUAUAUAC
This is an RNA transcript of Vespula vulgaris, 7234 nucleotides long. RefSeq lists it as uncharacterized. The transcript is spliced from 5 exons. The record is from RefSeq and is a predicted model, not a curated record. NCBI's taxonomy places the organism in Eukaryota, Metazoa, Arthropoda, Insecta, Hymenoptera, Vespidae.